Molecule: ribosomal RNA, 252 nt
Filed under: uncultured bacterium
Lineage: Bacteria
Description: partial 16S ribosomal RNA
Rfam family: Archaeal small subunit ribosomal RNA
Source: RNAcentral
UACCAGCACCCCGAGUGGUCGGGACGAUUAUUGGGCCUAAAGCAUCCGUAGCCGGUCCUACAAGUCUUCCGUUAAAUCCACCUGCUUACAGAUGGGCUGCGGAAGAUACUAUAGGGCUAGGAGGCGGGAGAGGCAAGCGGUACUCAGUGGGUAGGGGUAAAAUCCUCUGAUCCAUUGAAGACCACCAGUGGCGAAGGCGGCUUGCCAGAACGCGCUCGACGGUGAGGGAUGAAAGCUGGGGGAGCAAACCGG